AAUAUUUGAAAAUGGUGACAACCCUGAUCCAGCCAUGCCGCGUGUGUGAAGACGGUCUUCGGAUUGUAAAGCACUUGACGUUGGGAGGAAGGGCCAUAGACUAAUACCCUCAAGUUUUGACGAUACCAACAGAAUAAGCACCUGCUAACUUACUGCCAUCAGCCGCGGUAAUACGAAGGGUGCAAGCGUUAAUCGGAAUUACUGGGCGUAAAGCGCGCGUAGGUGGUUCGUUAAGUUGGAAGUGAAAGCCCCGGGCUUAACCUGGGAAUUGCUUUCAAAACUGACGAGCUAGAGUACGGUAGAGGGUAGUGGAAUUUCCUGUGUAGCGGUGAAAUGCGUAGAUAUAGGAAGGAACACCAGUGGCGAAGGCGACUACCUGGACUGAUACUGACACUGAGGUGCGAAAGCGUGGGGAGCAAACA
This 422-nucleotide ribosomal RNA is filed under the name uncultured bacterium. RNAcentral describes it as "partial 16S ribosomal RNA". It matches the Rfam family "Bacterial small subunit ribosomal RNA", at positions 360 to 774 of the family's 1533-position model. The record is from RNAcentral.